UACGACGUAUCGACGAAACGUUAAAAUUUUCGGAAAGAACGCGGUAAGUUCUAUAGACCGUCCGAUUUUUGUCUUUGUAUGUCAAAAAUUGUUACCUACACAGUCGUUGAAAGUUGUCCCCCAUUCAUUUCCUAUGGGAAAAAAAAGCGUACGUUUACGAAGUUUUUACGAAAACCGUACGAUGUAUCGCUUAAAAAAGCACAAGCAACCUAUUCGGGUAUAGGUCCUACGAUACUGCAAAAUUUCGUGGUUCUACGUCAAAAGCCCUAGGAGGAGAUAGUGAUUAAAUUUUGAGCGCGGAAUAAUAAUAAUAAUAACUAGAAAAGGUAAAGUUCGUGAACGAACUUUAAGUUGGCUUGGAAAAGAACGCUAAUAACGUUAAAAAGUUAAAAUGGUUGCUAAGCUUUUUCUGUCUGAAGAGUGUGAAGAGUCAUUGAUAUGCUGUUAACGCUAAAUGCUAAAAACGCUGACAUCUAAAAACAUUUGGUUAAACGCUGAAAUCUAAAAACAUUUGGUUAAACGCUGAAAUCUAAAAAUGUUUGAUUAAACGCUGAAAUCUAAAAACGUUUGGUUAAACGAUGAAAUCUAAAAACAUUUGGUUACACGCUGAAAUCUAAAAACGUUUGAUUAAACGCUGACAUCUAAAAACGUUUGGUUAAACGCUGAAAUCUAAAAACGCUUGUUUAAAUGCUGAAAUCGUAAAACUUUUGGUUAAACUUUUGAUUGCUAAUGUGUUGCUAGGCGGUUGCUAUCAUUUCUGAAAAGGUUACUAAGCUGUUGCUAGGCAAUUGCUAAUGUUUUCCAGGUGGUUGCUAAGCUGUUGCUAACUGGUUGCUAGGCAAUUGCUAACAUAUAACAGGUGGUUGCUAAGGUGUUGCUAGGUGGUUGCUAGGGUGUUGCUAGGUUGUUGCUAAGGUGUUGCUAUGGUAUCCGGGGUGGUUGCUAAGAUGUUGCUAGGUGGUUGCUAACGUGUUGCUAGGUGGUUGCUAAGGUGUUGCUAUGGUAUCCAGGGUGGUUGCUAAUGUGUUGCUAGGUGGUUGCUAGGGUCUUGCUAGGUGGUUGCUAAGGUGUUGCUAUGGUAUCUGGGGUGGUUGCUAAGGUGUUGCUAGGUGGUUGCUAGGGUGUUGCUAGUUG
Astyanax mexicanus (Mexican tetra) is the source of this 1134-nucleotide long non-coding RNA. RefSeq lists it as uncharacterized. NCBI's taxonomy places the organism in Eukaryota, Metazoa, Chordata, Actinopteri, Characiformes, Acestrorhamphidae. The record is from RefSeq and is a predicted model, not a curated record. The transcript has 2 exons.